GAUGAACGCUGACAGAAUGCUUAACACAUGCAAGUCAACUUGAACUUCGGUUUGGGUGGCGGACGGGUGAGUAACGCGUACAGAACUUGCCUCACAGAUAGGGACAACAUUUGGAAACGAAUGCUAAUACCUGAUAUUAUGAUUUUAGGGCAUCCUAGGAUUAUGAAAGCUAUAUGCGCUGUGGGAGAGCUUUGCGUCCCAUUAGCUAGUUGGAGAGGUAACGGCUCACCAAGGCGAUGAUGGGUAGCCGGCCUGAGAGGGUGAUCGGCCACAAGGGGACUGAGACACGGCCAUUACUCAUACGGGAGGCAGCAGUGGGGAAUAUUGGACAAUGGACCAAGAGUCUGAUCCAGCAAUUCUGUGUGCACGAUGAAGUUUUUCGGAAUGUAAAGUGCUUUCAGUUGGGAAGAAAAAAAUGACGGUACCAACAGAAGAAGUGACGGCUAAAUACGUG
Molecule: ribosomal RNA, 454 nt
Filed under: uncultured bacterium
Lineage: Bacteria
Description: partial 16S ribosomal RNA
Rfam family: Bacterial small subunit ribosomal RNA
Source: RNAcentral